ACGGGUGAGGAACACAUAGGAAUCUGCCCUCAAGAGGGGGAUAACCUGGGGAAACCUGGGCUAAUACCGCAUAUUACUCUGAGGAGGAAAGGCAGGGGCGACUCUGUUACUUGGGGAUGAGCCUAUGUCUGAUUAGCUAGUUGGUGGGGUAAAGGCCUACCAAGGCGACGAUCAGUAACUGGUCUGAGAGGACGGACAGUCACACUGGGACUGAGACACGGCCCAGACUCCUACGGGAGGCAGCAGUGGGGAAUAUUGGACAAUGGGGGGAACCCUGAUCCAGCGAUGCCGCGUGUGUGAAGAAGGCCUGCGGGUUGUAAAGCACUUUUAUCGGAGAAGAGGGUAUUUGUUGUGAAUAGCGACAGAUAUUGACGGUACCCGAGGAAUAAGCACCGGCUAACUCUGUGCCAGCAGCCGCGGUAAUACAGAGGGUGCGAGCGUUAAUCGGAAUUACUGGGCGUAAAGGGCGCGUAGGUGGAUAGAUAAGUCAGAUGUGAAAGUCCUGGGCUUAACCUGGGGAUUGCAUUUGAUACUGUUUGUCUGGAGUGAAGUAGAGGGUGGCGGAAUUUCCGGUGUAGC
This 579-nucleotide ribosomal RNA is filed under the name uncultured bacterium. Its description in RNAcentral is "bacterial SSU rRNA". It matches the Rfam family "Bacterial small subunit ribosomal RNA", at positions 102 to 679 of the family's 1533-position model. The record is from RNAcentral.